Molecule: ribosomal RNA, 253 nt
Filed under: uncultured bacterium
Lineage: Bacteria
Description: partial 16S ribosomal RNA
Rfam family: Bacterial small subunit ribosomal RNA
Source: RNAcentral
UACGGAGGGUGCAAGCGUUAUCCGGAUUCACUGGGUUUAAAGGGUGCGUAGGUGGGUCUGAAAGUCAGUGGUGAAAUCUCCGGGCUCAACCCGGAAACUGCCAUUGAUACUACAGGUCUUGAAUUUUCUGGAGGCUAGCGGAAUAUGUCAUGUAGCGGUGAAAUGCUUAGAUAUGACAUAGAACACCAAUUGCGAAGGCAGCUGGCUACAGGAAUAUUGACACUGAGGCACGAAAGCGUGGGGAUCAAACAGG